RNA transcript from Mirounga angustirostris (Northern elephant seal), 2455 nucleotides. It is a transcript of the gene named SUMO specific peptidase 2, with no coding region annotated. The record is from RefSeq and is a predicted model, not a curated record. NCBI's taxonomy places the organism in Eukaryota, Metazoa, Chordata, Mammalia, Carnivora, Phocidae. The transcript is spliced from 18 exons.
GGUGCGGUUGGGCGGGGGGGCCUCCUAUAACCCUCAGGACGUUUUAUCUGUGGGCCCUCCGAUAGCGUCACAAGUGGGCGACUGAGCCUUGGCGGUGGUGGCCGAGGCGGCGAAGGCGGCAGCGGCGGCGACAGCUCUGGGGUUUGCGUCUCGGGGUGUGUCGGCCGCCGCUGCUGCUUGGGCCUGGUAUGUACAAAUGGCUGGUUAGGAUUCUCGGCACCAUUUUCCGUUUCUGUGACCGGCCGGUGCCCCGUACCCGGGCCCUCCUGAAGAGGCGGCGCUCGAACAGCACUUUGUUUUCUACAGUGGACGCUGAUGAAAUACCAGCUAAAAGACCAAGAUUAGAUUAUUUCAUUCACCAAGUCAAAACCAGUCUCUACAAUGCUGCCAGCUUAUUUGGAUUCCCAUUCCAGCUGACCACAAAACCCAUGGUAACUUCUGCUUGUAAUGGAACACGGAAUGUGGCCCCUUCAGGAGAGGUAUUUUCGAACUCUUCAUCUUGUGAACUGACAGGUUCUGGAUCCUGGAACAACAUGCUGAAACUGGGUAAUAAAUCUCCUAAUGGAAUAAGUGACUAUCCAAAGAUCAGAGUGACAGUAACCCGAGAUCAGCCCCGCAGAGUCCUGCCUUCCUUUGGUUUUACUUUGAACUCAGAGGGGUAUAACAGAAGACCAGGUGGCCGUCGUCAUAGCAAAGGCCCUUCAGAGAGUUCCUUAACCUGGAAGCCUCAGGAACUGGUUUUAACAGAGAUGAUUUCUGAAGAGGGUGGCAAGGGUCUGAGGCGUCCCCACUGUACCGUGGAGGAGGGUGUUCAAAAAGAGGAAAGAGAGAAAUACCGAAGGUUAUUGGAGCGACUUAAAGAAAGUGGUCAUGGAAACUCUGUUCCUCCUGUAACUCCAACUUAUCACAGCUCUCAAAGAAGUCAGAUGGACACAUUAAAGACCAAAGGCUGGGGCGAAGAGCAAAGUCACGGAGUCAAAACAACUCAGUUUGUUCCAAAACAAUACAGAGUUGUUGAAACAAGGGGACCUUUAUGCUCAGUGAGAAGUGAGAAGAGGUGUUGUUCAAAGGGGAAAAUUUCUGAUUCAGAGAGGACAGUUGGAAUCAGACUUGAAAAUGAAGGUAGGAGGGGACACCAGCUGGAACCUGACCUAUCCGAAGAGGUGUCAGCCCGACUCCGCCUGGGCAGUGGGAGCAAUGGCUUACUCAGGAGGAAAAUGUCAAUACUUGAGACAAAAGAAAAACAUUGCUCAGGCAAAGAGAGGGAUAAAAGGAUGGAUGAUCUUCUUGAACUUACAGAGGACAUGGAAAGGGAAAUCAGUAAUGCCCUAGGUCAUGGCCCACAGGAUGAGGUCCUAAGUAGCGCUUUCAAGUUGCGAAUCACUCGAGGUGAUAUCCAGACCUUGAAGAACUACCACUGGCUCAAUGAUGAAGUCAUUAAUUUUUACAUGAAUCUUCUGGUGGAAAGAAACAAAAAACAAGGGUAUCCAGCACUUCACGCAUUCAGUACUUUUUUCUAUCCCAAAUUAAAGUCUGGUGGUUACCAAGCAGUGAAAAGAUGGACCAAAGGGGUCAAUCUCUUUGAACAGGAACUUAUUCUGGUGCCUAUUCAUCGGAAGGUACAUUGGAGCCUGGUGGUGAUAGACCUAAGAAAAAGGUGUCUUAAAUAUCUGGAUUCUAUGGGACAAAAGGGCCACAGGAUCUGUGAGAUUCUCCUUCAGUAUUUACAGGAUGAAAGUAAGACCAAAAGAAAUAUUGAUCUGAAUCUUCUAGAGUGGACCCACUACAGCAUGAAGCCACAUGAGAUUCCUCAACAGUUGAAUGGGAGUGAUUGUGGAAUGUUUACUUGUAAAUAUGCAGAUUAUAUCUCUAGGGACAAACCUAUCACAUUUACUCAGGUUUCUCCUCCUCUUUGGUGACCAGUGAGGCAGUUGCAUAUCUCCGAACUCCAGUGUUCACUAGCUCCUGAGUAUUACUGAUAUUUUUGGCCAAAGGAGGAGGCAAGUAAGAGUGUGUGUGACAGCCCGGGGAAAUCAGGCCUUGUGAGAAGCACCAGAUGCCUCUCUUCCGGAAGAAGAUGGUGUGGGAAAUCCUUCAUCAGCAGCUGCUGUGAGAGCGCCCCGCCCAGUCCCUCGAGCUGCUGGUGGUUCUGUCACGGAGGACGGCUGUUUCCAUAUACCUCAUGCGUCGUGGGUUCAGAAGUCCCUGCAUCACCUCUGUUGGCUCACGGGUCCUGAGCUGUAGGACGUGCGCGCCGGCCUCGCCUGCACCCUGGUCCUGACGUGGUGUGUGGACGUUCUGCCUGCAACCCCCUGUGUAAGCCUGUGCCUGCUCGGAGCCUGGACUGUUCGACCCACACGAGGACAAACGCUCACUAAUAACUCUUUUUUUUGAAAGAUCUUUUUUUCCCUAUGAAUGUGGGAAAUGCAGGAUUGAUUCUACGAUGUGUCUUCUG